AACCCACUCCUUACGCCAUGCCAGAGUUACUGUGAGGAGGAUCAUAAAGAGCCUGCAGAAUGUACUCUCUGAUUCACCUGUCUUAUUAUUUUUGCAAUCAUGGAUAGUAGGGAGUAUCUACUGGAUGCCCAGUGUAAGUGUUCCACAUGCAGGAGCUUAUGGCGCAAUAUAUGGCCCAAGUCUGCACAGCCAUGAGCGUCUUCAACUCUAUCUCAAAAGGCUCUCAGCACCUUACAGGAUGGAACCCCCUCUUCGAGUCAGUUCAGUUUGCAGAGAUUUGGGAGCUGGAUGUCUUGGUGUGAUGCUGUUUGGUUUCUACUUUCAUGGGUCUCAUCUCUCAUCUCCCAGGAGGGCUCUACUUUCAUCAGAACUUCUUCUCUUUUGUUGUCUUUGUGAGGGAAAGGGCUCACCACUUAUAAGCGAUACCAUCACUUCUUCAGAAGCAAAUGUCCACCUAUUCCUGUGGUCUCCAAAUGCUUACUGACUGUAGUGCAGGAGACUUACCCAGUCUUGGAAGUUUGCUCUCCGUUUGCCAAGGCUUUUUAAAGGAUUGGAAACCAGUUUGGGUCAAGUAAGAACAUGUCUGAACUUUCACCCAAGACAGCACACUCAUUCUCUUCCCCAAAAAGUGAUUAUACAUUGUGACCCCUCUCCCCCUCCCCCGCCCCAGCCCCCAGCCCCCAGCCCAUUGAUGCUAAUGGGAGAGCUGUACAAUAUUUAAUGGAUCCAAUCCUGUUCUCAUUGAAAUCAGUGGUGGUUUUGCUAUUACUUUCAGGUAGGAUUCUGAGUGCAGGAUUGGGUUCAUCAUUGUUAUUCAUGAGUUGUAUCUGCAAGUAUUCAGUGUAAUCUCGUUAUAAUGUAAUUCAAUAAGUUGUAUGUUUCUACUGUUCAUCAGUCAUAAAGCUGGUAAUUAGUCCUACAACUCUACAGCUAUGACAAUACCUAAUAGUAUUAUCACAGAGAAUGUAUUGAGAAUGUGUUUUGUAUUUUCAUUCUUGCAACUGAAAGGGAACAAAUCGUUACUGUUUUUUUUUUAAUUAAAUGUAUCUCUUGAAUCCCACGCUAAUUUAGGUUUUAGAAAUUCCAUCAAUAUCAUGGCAAAUAAUAAAUAUGCAGAUGCUUGGACUACA
This is a long non-coding RNA of Chrysemys picta bellii (western painted turtle), 1130 nucleotides long. The record is from Ensembl. NCBI's taxonomy places the organism in Eukaryota, Metazoa, Chordata, Testudines, Emydidae.